RNAcentral lists this ribosomal RNA (872 nucleotides) under uncultured Bacteroidota bacterium. RNAcentral describes it as "bacterial SSU rRNA". It matches the Rfam family "Bacterial small subunit ribosomal RNA", at positions 482 to 1357 of the family's 1533-position model. The record is from RNAcentral. Lineage: Bacteria; Pseudomonadati; Bacteroidota.
AGGAAUGAGCAUCGGCUAACUCCGUGCCAGCAGCCGCGGUAAUACGGAGGAUGCAAGCGUUAUCCGGAUUCAUUGGGUUUAAAGGGUGCGCAGGCGGUGGAGCAAGUCAGUGGUGAAAGCCCGGAGCUCAACUCCGGGAUUGCCAUUGAAACUGUUUCACUUGAGUGUAGUCGAGGACGGCGGAAUGAGUUGUGUAGCGGUGAAAUGCAUAGAUAUAACUCAGAACACCAAUUGCGAAGGCAGCUGUCUAGACUACAACUGACGCUGAGGCACGAAAGCGUGGGGAGCGAACAGGAUUAGAUACCCUGGUAGUCCACGCUGUAAACGAUGAUCACUCGUUGUUGGCUACUUGGUAGUCAGUGACUAAGGGAAACCAUUAAGUGAUCCACCUGGGGAGUACGUCGGCAACGAUGAAACUCAAAGGAAUUGACGGGGGCCCGCACAAGCGGAGGAACAUGUGGUUUAAUUCGAUGAUACGCGAGGAACCUUACCUGGGCUUAAAUGCAGGCUGCAUUCCCGUGAAAGCGGGAUUUCCUACGAGACUGCCUGCAAGGUGCUGCAUGGUUGUCGUCAGCUCGUGCCGUGAGGUGUCGGGUUAAGUCCCAUAACGAGCGCAACCCCUAUCGCUAGUUGCCAGCAUGUAAUGGUGGGGACUCUAGCGAGACUGCCGGUGUAAACCGGAGGAAGGUGGGGACGACGUCAAAUCAGCACGGCCCUUACGUCCAGGGCUACACACGUGUUACAAUGGCCGGUACAAAGAGCAGCCACCUGGCGACAGGGUGCUAAUCUCCAAAGCCGGUCUCAGUUCGGAUCGAAGUCUGCAAUUCGACUUCGUGAAGGUGGAUUCGCUAGUAAUCGCGCAUCAGCCAUGG